CCUACGGGAGGCAGCAGUGAGGAAUAUUGGACAAUGGGCGCAAGCCUGAUCCAGCCAUGCCGCGUGCAGGAAGACGGUCCUAUGGAUUGUAAACUGCUUUUGUACGGGAAGAAACACUCCUACGUGUAGGAGCUUGACGGUACCGUAAGAAUAAGGAUCGGCUAACUCCGUGCCAGCAGCCGCGGUAAUACGGAGGAUCCAAGCGUUAUCCGGAAUCAUUGGGUUUAAAGGGUCCGUAGGCGGUUUAGUAAGUCAGUGGUGAAAGCCCAUCGCUCAACGAUGGAACGGCCAUUGAUACUGCUAGACUUGAAUUACUAGGAAGUAACUAGAAUAUGUAGUGUAGCGGUGAAAUGCUUAGAUAUUACAUGGAAUACCAAUUGCGAAGGCAGGUUACUACUAGUGGAUUGACGCUGAUGGACGAAAGCGUGGGGAGCGAACAGGAUUAGAUACCCUGGUAGUCCACGCCGUAAACGAUGGAUACUAGCUGUUCGGGGCAACCUGAGUGGCUAAGCGAAAGUGAUAAGUAUCCACCUGGGGAGUACGUUCGCAGAAUGAAACUCAAAGGAAUUGACGG
This 574-nucleotide ribosomal RNA is filed under the name uncultured bacterium. RNAcentral describes it as "bacterial SSU rRNA". It matches the Rfam family "Bacterial small subunit ribosomal RNA", at positions 338 to 916 of the family's 1533-position model. The record is from RNAcentral.